UUGAACGCUGGCGGCAGGCUUAACACAUGCAAGUCGAGCGGGGGAAGGUAGCUUGCUACUGAUCUUAGCGGCGGACGGGUGAGUAAUGCUUAGGAAUCUGCCUAUUAGUGGGGGACAACAUCUCGAAAGGGAUGCUAAUACCGCAUACGUCCUACGGGAGAAAGCAGGGGAUCUUCGGACCUUGCGCUAAUAGAUGAGCCUAAGUCGGAUUAGCUAGUUGGUGGGGUAAAGGCCUACCAAGGCGACGAUCUGUAGCGGGUCUGAGAGGAUGAUCCGCCACACUGGGACUGAGACACGGNCCAGACUCCUACGGGAGGCAGCAGUGGGGAAUAUUGGACAAUGGGCGCAAGCCUGAUCCAGCCAUGCCGCGUGUGUGAAGAAGGCCUUAUGGGUUGUAAAGCACUUUAAGCGAGGAGGAGGCUACUUUAGAUAAUACCUAGAGAUAGUGGACGUUACUCGCAGAAUUAAGCACCCGCUUACUC
Molecule: ribosomal RNA, 482 nt
Filed under: Acinetobacter calcoaceticus subsp. anitratus
Lineage: Bacteria; Pseudomonadati; Pseudomonadota; Gammaproteobacteria; Moraxellales; Moraxellaceae
Description: bacterial SSU rRNA
Rfam family: Bacterial small subunit ribosomal RNA
Source: RNAcentral